CCUACGGGUGGCAGCAGUGGGGAAUAUUGCGCAAUGGAGGCAACUCUGACGCAGCAACGCCGCGUGGAUGAUGAAGGUCUUCGGAUUGUAAAGUUCUGUGAUGGGGGAAGAACACAAUGACGGUACCCUAAUAGCAAGCCACUGCUACCUACGCGUCAGCCGCUGCGGUAAUAAGUGGGGGGAAAGCGAUCUGCGGAACGAUGGGGCGGAAAGGGGGAGUAGGGGGGUUAGUAAGUCGGCGGGGUAAUUCCGGGGCUCAACCUCGGCACUGCCGGUGAAACUAUUAGACUAGAGUGCAGUAGAGGUAAGUGGAAUUCCUGGUGUAGCGGUGAAAUGCGUAGAUAUUAGGAGGAACAUCAAGGGCGAAGGCGACUUACUGGAACGUAACUGACGCUGAGGCACGAAAGCGUGGGGAGCAAACAGGAUUAGAUACCCGGGUAGUC
RNAcentral lists this ribosomal RNA (443 nucleotides) under uncultured bacterium. Its description in RNAcentral is "partial 16S ribosomal RNA". It matches the Rfam family "Bacterial small subunit ribosomal RNA", at positions 338 to 795 of the family's 1533-position model. The record is from RNAcentral.